Molecule: ribosomal RNA, 2990 nt
Filed under: Salmonella enterica subsp. enterica serovar Typhimurium str. DT104
Lineage: Bacteria; Pseudomonadati; Pseudomonadota; Gammaproteobacteria; Enterobacterales; Enterobacteriaceae
Description: bacterial LSU rRNA
Rfam family: Bacterial large subunit ribosomal RNA
Source: RNAcentral
UUAAGCGACUAAGCGUACACGGUGGAUGCCCUGGCAGUCAGAGGCGAUGAAGGGCGUGCUAAUCUGCGAUAAGCGCCGGUAAGGUGAUAUGAACCGUUAUAACCGGCGAUACCCGAAUGGGGAAACCCAGUGUGAUUCGUCACACUAUCAUUAACUGAAUCCAUAGGUUAAUGAGGCGAACCGGGGGAACUGAAACAUCUAAGUACCCCGAGGAAAAGAAAUCAACCGAGAUUCCCCCAGUAGCGGCGAGCGAACGGGGAGGAGCCCAGAGCCUGAAUCAGCAUGUGUGUUAGUGGAAGCGUCUGGAAAGGCGCGCGAUACAGGGUGACAGCCCCGUACACAAAAGCGCAUGUGCUGUGAGCUCGAUGAGUAGGGCGGGACACGUGGUAUCCUGUCUGAAUAUGGGGGGACCAUCCUCCAAGGCUAAAUACUCCUGACUGACCGAUAGUGAACCAGUACCGUGAGGGAAAGGCGAAAAGAACCCCGGCGAGGGGAGUGAAAAAGAACCUGAAACCGUGUACGUACAAGCAGUGGGAGCACAGGUUUACCUGUGUGACUGCGUACCUUUUGUAUAAUGGGUCAGCGACUUAUAUUCUGUAGCAAGGUUAACCGUAUAGGGGAGCCGGAGGGAAACCGAGUCUUAAUUGGGCGUUAAGUUGCAGGGUAUAGACCCGAAACCCGGUGAUCUAGCCAUGGGCAGGUUGAAGGUUGGGUAACACUAACUGGAGGACCGAACCGACUAAUGUUGAAAAAUUAGCGGAUGACCUGUGGCUGGGGGUGAAAGGCCAAUCAAACCGGGAGAUAGCUGGUUCUCCCCGAAAGCUAUUUAGGUAGCGCCUCGUGAAUUCAUCUCCGGGGGUAGAGCACUGUUUCGGCUAGGGGGCCAUCCCGGCUUACCAACCCGAUGCAAACUGCGAAUACCGGAGAAUGUUAUCACGGGAGACACACGGCGGGUGCUAACGUCCGUCGUGAAGAGGGAAACAACCCAGACCGCCAGCUAAGGUCCCAAAGUCAUGGUUAAGUGGGAAACGAUGUGGGAAGGCCCAGACAGCCAGGAUGUUGGCUUAGAAGCAGCCAUCAUUUAAAGAAAGCGUAAUAGCUCACUGGUCGAGUCGGCCUGCGCGGAAGAUGUAACGGGGCUAAACCAUGCACCGAAGCUGCGGCAGCGAACGUAUCACCCAAGACAACUUUACGGAGUUGACGAUUGACGGAGCGAAGCGACGUCAAAGCGUUCAUUAAAGUCGAGUUGGCUUAGGGAUACGUUCGUUGGGUAGGGGAGCGUUCUGUAAGCCUGUGAAGGUGUGUCGUGAGGCAUGCUGGAGGUAUCAGAAGUGCGAAUGCUGACAUAAGUAACGAUAAAGCGGGUGAAAAGCCCGCUCGCCGGAAGACCAAGGGUUCCUGUCCAACGUUAAUCGGGGCAGGGUGAGUCGACCCCUAAGGCGAGGCCGAAAGGCGUAGUCGAUGGGAAACGGGUUAAUAUUCCCGUACUUGGUGUUACUGCGAAGGGGGGACGGAGAAGGCUAUGUUGGCCGGGCGACGGUUGUCCCGGUUUAAGCGUGUAGGUGUGUGUUCCAGGUAAAUCCGGUUCACUUUAACACUGAGGCGUGACGACGAGGCACUACGGUGCUGAAGCAACAAAUGCCCUGCUUCCAGGAAAAGCCUCUAAGCAUCAGGUAACACGAAAUCGUACCCCAAACCGACACAGGUGGUCAGGUAGAGAAUACCAAGGCGCUUGAGAGAACUCGGGUGAAGGAACUAGGCAAAAUGGUGCCGUAACUUCGGGAGAAGGCACGCUGACACGUAGGUGAAGUGAUUUACUCAUGGAGCUGAAGUCAGUCGAAGAUACCAGCUGGCUGCAACUGUUUAUUAAAAACACAGCACUGUGCAAACACGAAAGUGGACGUAUACGGUGUGACGCCUGCCCGGUGCCGGAAGGUUAAUUGAUGGGGUCAGCGUAAGCGAAGCUCCUGAUCGAAGCCCCGGUAAACGGCGGCCGUAACUAUAACGGUCCUAAGGUAGCGAAAUUCCUUGUCGGGUAAGUUCCGACCUGCACGAAUGGCGUAAUGAUGGCCAGGCUGUCUCCACCCGAGACUCAGUGAAAUUGAACUCGCUGUGAAGAUGCAGUGUACCCGCGGCAAGACGGAAAGACCCCGUGAACCUUUACUAUAGCUUGACACUGAACAUUGAGCCUUGAUGUGUAGGAUAGGUGGGAGGCUUUGAAGUGUGGACGCCAGUCUGCAUGGAGCCGACCUUGAAAUACCACCCUUUAAUGUUUGAUGUUCUAACGUGGACCCGUAAUCCGGGUUGCGGACAGUGUCUGGUGGGUAGUUUGACUGGGGCGGUCUCCUCCUAAAGAGUAACGGAGGAGCACGAAGGUUGGCUAAUCCUGGUCGGACAUCAGGAGGUUAGUGCAAUGGCAUAAGCCAGCUUGACUGCGAGCGUGACGGCGCGAGCAGGUGCGAAAGCAGGUCAUAGUGAUCCGGUGGUUCUGAAUGGAAGGGCCAUCGCUCAACGGAUAAAAGGUACUCCGGGGAUAACAGGCUGAUACCGCCCAAGAGUUCAUAUCGACGGCGGUGUUUGGCACCUCGAUGUCGGCUCAUCACAUCCUGGGGCUGAAGUAGGUCCCAAGGGUAUGGCUGUUCGCCAUUUAAAGUGGUACGCGAGCUGGGUUUAGAACGUCGUGAGACAGUUCGGUCCCUAUCUGCCGUGGGCGCUGGAGAACUGAGGGGGGCUGCUCCUAGUACGAGAGGACCGGAGUGGACGCAUCACUGGUGUUCGGGUUGUCAUGCCAAUGGCACUGCCCGGUAGCUAAAUGCGGAAGAGAUAAGUGCUGAAAGCAUCUAAGCACGAAACUUGCCCCGAGAUGAGUUCUCCCUGAGACUUAGAGUCUCCUGAAGGAACGUUGAAGACGACGACGUUGAUAGGCCGGGUGUGUAAGCGCAGCGAUGCGUUGAGCUAACCGGUACUAAUGAACCGUGAGGCUUAACCUU